ACGCUCGCCUCCGCAGCACAUAUACUAAACUUGGAACGAUACAGAGAAGAUUAGCAUGGCCCCUGCACAAGGAUGACACACAAAUUCGUGAAGUGUUCCAUAUUAAA
Molecule: small nuclear RNA, 107 nt
Filed under: Colobus angolensis palliatus
Lineage: Eukaryota; Metazoa; Chordata; Mammalia; Primates; Cercopithecidae
Source: RNAcentral